CCCCUUUUUUUAUUAGUGAAAUAUUAUUAUAUUAAAAUUGUUGGUUUACCCAACUAUGGCAAUAAACGGUAUAUGAAAUAGGCGUAGUGGACCCGGGGGCGGUACCCGGCGUCUCCACCAUAAAGCUUAUGGGGACGAAACAGGAUCGACACGCGUAGUAAAGAUAUAUUUUUUGCUCGGUAUUGUACCACCGUUAUCGGACUGUUUUUUACAAAUGCCAACGAUAAUUUCGAGGCACACGCUAUCGCGGCCUAAUAAGCCAAUGUGACAAGCGCGGCUUGAAGGGUGCCGGGCAACAGAAACCCUUCACU
This is a non-coding RNA of Apis mellifera (honey bee), 311 nucleotides long. The record is from Rfam. Lineage: Eukaryota; Metazoa; Arthropoda; Insecta; Hymenoptera; Apidae.